AGCAGCAGCCGCGGUAAUACGUAGGUGGCAAGCGUUGUCCGGAAUUAUUGGGCGUAAAGGGCUCGCAGGCGGUUUCUUAAGACUGAUGUGAAAGCCCCCGGCUCAACCGGGGAGGGUCAUUGGAAACUGGGAAACUUGAGUGCAGAAGAGGAGAGUGGAAUUCCACGUGUAGCGGUGAAAUGCGUAGAGAUGUGGAGGAACACCAGUGGCGAGGGCGACUCUCUGGUCUGUAACUGACGCUGAGGAGCGAAAGCGUGGGGAGCGAACAGGAUUAGAUACCCCGGUAGUCCCUGUCUCUUAUAC
This 303-nucleotide ribosomal RNA is filed under the name uncultured bacterium. Its description in RNAcentral is "partial 16S ribosomal RNA". It matches the Rfam family "Bacterial small subunit ribosomal RNA", at positions 507 to 807 of the family's 1533-position model. The record is from RNAcentral.